GUUGCAGGUGUCGGCUGAUCGGGGGGUGGUGGGGCGCUUGUGUGCUCCAGAUAGUAUUACUCUACCUGUGUGAUCCACCGCGGACUACAGGGUAACAAUGAAGUCAGCUGUCUGCCUGGUGACCUCUGUAGUGAUAAGUGUUGUGCAGAAUCAACUUAACCACCAAAUUUAAAGAUUUCACUAUGGCUUCAGUAUUGCUCGUUCCCUCAACGAAAUGGACACUUUGCAGGAGUUAUUCAGUCCUGAUAAUGAUGAGAGCGCCUUAGAUGAACCUGUCAACUUUGUCCUUGAAAUCCACAUGGCUGCAUAUUGUGUUUGCUUUGCCAGAAGCCCAUCUGCGCGAACCACCAUGUCACGCUACCUUCAACUGCCACACAUAAGAUAGAGAUUCAGUCUCACCAAAAUCUAUUUCAACUAUCCCAGUAAAAGCCCUGAAUUUAUCAUGUCUUCAGCUAUAGACAAAAUGCAAUUUUUGUACUGUCAAGGAAAACUUUAGAAUUUUUAUGGAUAUUUGUGUAGCAUAUUAUAAAUAAAAUAGUAUAUUAUUAUUCAUCAAUAUUUUCAGUGUGUAUAUGUUUAGCCAAUUUUUCAGCGCUGUAUGAGACAUUUUGAUCAUCCAUUAGUAACUACAGAGAUCAUAUCCACGGUAGGGUAUGAGCAGUUAUUCAUUUUAAUCAUUUGUUUUAUGUUUUGCACAGUUAUAUUAUUUUCCACGUAAUCAAGAGAGUAAGUAACCUGUUAUCUGUCACACUCAGUCCUCCACCACGACCGCCUCUCAUAAAUUGUAUUACUUCGGUACUCUCAUCUCCACUGCUUUCAUUUACUUGCAAAC
This is a long non-coding RNA of Eriocheir sinensis (Chinese mitten crab), 832 nucleotides long. RefSeq lists it as uncharacterized. The transcript is spliced from 3 exons. The record is from RefSeq and is a predicted model, not a curated record. Lineage: Eukaryota; Metazoa; Arthropoda; Malacostraca; Decapoda; Varunidae.